UUUUAGACAUGAGUUAUUUCAUUUGACACUGUGGCGAUGUUCCUAAGCAGACUUAUUUCCCCAGACUAGACGCACAUGUGUUUGGUUAAAUACGGUUUCUUCAUCGAUAAGUUUCACCUUAUCAUUAGUAUAUCCGCUUGCUACGCUUGUAUUAACUACGUUAAAACUAAACUCUACGUUACCCCAACAAUGGGAGGGGAAAAUGGGAGAUAAAGUGAAUGCAGAGUCGAACACACCAUCGGAAAUGUUUCUUACAAAAGAAAAGAAAUGGGCUACAUCAAAUUAUAAAUCUGUCCCCAAUGCUCUUCUGCUGUGAACCUCAUCUUUAUUACAUGUAACAAGUGGCUGUUCAGGCAGUGUAUUGCAAAGGAGAGUUGAAGGGGAGUUCUUGCAAAUUCCUACUGUACCAUGUUCUUCGCUGAGCUUGACUGGUACUCAACAUGAUAGGUGGAGAUCUUCGGUAAAAAAGGCAGGCAAUCAGGGAAAAAAAAAGAGAAUCACAUCGAUCAUGGUUGCCAUCUCCAAGGAUGACACUAUACAUACCAGAAGGGCCUGUGUGAUCAAGUCUCUGUGCACCCACUUGAAUGAAGACCCUGAAAAACUAGUGAAGGCAUAUUUGAUUCAGACAGAGUCACAAAGUACCAUGGAGCAAACUGAAGGGAGUGUAUGUUAUACUGAAGGAGGGAGCACUGCCUGAUGAUGACCCACAGGACACUGGUCUCCUAAUUGAAGGUGUGGAAGUCCUCAGUGACUUGAGUCGCAUUGUGCAGGCUUGUUCUCUGUUAUUUGGACUGAUAUGUUGUUUGAACCUGAGCUACUCCCCAGAGCUCAAAUGCACAUGCAGGAGAUCCUUCUAAAUCUAAAUGGACAGAGGUUGCAAUCCAAGGCACAGAUCAACAACAAACUUUGAGAUAAUGACCUUGAAAAAGAAAGAAAAGUUAAACUAAAUGCACUUGGAGUUCCUUAUGUAUAUGGACAACUUUUUUUUGCCACCGUUCCUCCAAACAAGCUACUGGAGCAAUUGAGCUUGAACAGGACUGGUGUACUUCAGGAAGAUGUACAUUUGUAGUUAGAUAGAAACUCUUUUUAGACCACUUAUUUAUUGCAUAGUUACUUUAAACGUGGUGCUGGAGAAAGUGAGUAGAAGCAGUUGUUACACAUUUACAAAUAUUUUCUGGGAGUGAUUUUCUUAGUUUCCGAUGUAAUGCAACAUGGUAAUUUAGAAUUAUCAAAAUAAAAAAAUA
Carassius auratus (goldfish) is the source of this 1244-nucleotide long non-coding RNA. RefSeq lists it as uncharacterized. The transcript has 6 exons. Lineage: Eukaryota; Metazoa; Chordata; Actinopteri; Cypriniformes; Cyprinidae. The record is from RefSeq and is a predicted model, not a curated record.